GUCGGGAUAGCUCAGCUGGUAGAGCAGAGACUGAAAUC
RNAcentral lists this transfer RNA (38 nucleotides) under Geranium bohemicum. RNAcentral's name for it is "partial transfer RNA-Phe". Lineage: Eukaryota; Viridiplantae; Streptophyta; Magnoliopsida; Geraniales; Geraniaceae. RNAcentral also lists the same sequence under 6 other names. The record is from RNAcentral.